AACGUAGGAGGCAAGCGUUAUCCGGAGUUACUGGGCGUAAAGCGCAUGUAGGCGGUUUCUCAAGUGGCGUGUGAAAGCUCCCGGCUAAACUGGGAGAGGACACGUCAGACUGAGAGGCUAGAGGGGGCUAGAGGGGCGCAGAAUUCGGGGUGUAGCGGUGAAAUGUGUAGAGAUCCCGAGGAAUACCAGUGGUGAAGACGGCGCCCUGGGGCCUUACUGACGCUGAGAUGCGAAAGCGUGGGGAGCGAACGGGAUUAGAGACCCCGGUAGUCCACGCCGUAAACGAUGUGAACUAGGUGCCCACUGCCUUCGGGGAGGGGGUGCCGAAGCUAACGCGCUAAGUUCACCGCCUGGGGAGUACGGUCGCAAGGCUAAA
This 376-nucleotide ribosomal RNA is filed under the name uncultured bacterium. Its description in RNAcentral is "bacterial SSU rRNA". It matches the Rfam family "Bacterial small subunit ribosomal RNA", at positions 524 to 898 of the family's 1533-position model. The record is from RNAcentral.